RNAcentral lists this ribosomal RNA (253 nucleotides) under uncultured bacterium. RNAcentral's name for it is "partial 16S ribosomal RNA". It matches the Rfam family "Bacterial small subunit ribosomal RNA", at positions 524 to 776 of the family's 1533-position model. The record is from RNAcentral.
UACGUAGGGGGCAAGCGUUGUCCGGAAUCAUUGGGCGUAAAGAGCGUGUAGGCGGCCUUACAGGUCAGCUGUGAAAACUCGAGGCUCAACCUCGACACGUCGGUUGAAACCGUAUGGCUAGAGUCCGGAAGAGGAGAGUGGAAUUCCCGGUGUAGCGGUGAAAUGCGCAGAUAUCGGGAAGAACACCCGUGGCGAAGGCGGCUCUCUGGGACGGUACUGACGCUGAGACGCGAAAGCGUGGGGAGCGAACAGG